AGCAGCCGCGGUAAUUCCAGCUCCAAUAGCGUAUAUUAAAGUUGUUGCAGUUAAAAGGCUCGUAGUUGAACUUCGGGGUUUACCCAUUGGUCAGGCUUAAUUGUCUGUACUGGUGAGAUGAAUCUCUACCUUCUGAGGAACUUUCAUGCCAUUUAUUUGGUGUGAUGGGAAAUCAGGACUGUUACUUUGAAAAAAUUAGAGUGUUUAAAGCAGGCUAACGUCUGAAUACAUUAGCAUGGAAUAAUGAAAUAGGACGGACUGAUUCUAUUUCGUUGGUUUCUAGGAUCACCGUAAUGAUUAAUAGGGAUAGUUGGGGGCAUUAGUAUUCAAUUGUCAGAGGUGAAAUUCUUGGAUUUAUUGAAGACUAACUACUGCGAAAGCAUUUGCCAAGGAUGUUUUCAUUAAUCAAGAACGAAAGCUAGGGGAUCGAAGACGAUCAGAUACCGUCGUAGUCUUAACCAUAAACUAUGCCGACUAGGGAUCGGACGAAGUUAAUUUUAUAAUGACGCGUU
This 512-nucleotide ribosomal RNA is filed under the name uncultured Diversispora. RNAcentral's name for it is "SSU rRNA". It matches the Rfam family "Eukaryotic small subunit ribosomal RNA", at positions 569 to 1080 of the family's 1831-position model. Lineage: Eukaryota; Fungi; Glomeromycota; Glomeromycetes; Diversisporales; Diversisporaceae. The record is from RNAcentral.